GGGCUUGACAUCCCACGAACCUGCCUGAAAGGGCGGGGUGCCCGCAAGGGAGCGUGGAGACAGGUGGUGCAUGGCUGUCGUCAGCUCGUGUCGUGAGAUGUUGGGUUAAGUCCCGCAACGAGCGCAACCCUCACCCCUAGUUGCCACCGGGUAAAGCCGAGCACUCGAGGGGAACUGCCAGCGUCAAGCUGGAGGAAGGCGGGGAUGACGUCAAGUCAUCAUGCCCCUUACGCCCUGGGCUACACACGUGCUACAAUGGCCAGUACAAAGGGAUGCGAGACCGCAAGGUGGAGCUAAUCCCAGAAAGCUGGUCUAAGUUCGGAUUGCAGUCUGCAACUCGACUGCAUGAAGUAGGAAUCGCUAGUAAUCGCGUAUCAGCACGGCGCGGUGAAUACGUUCCCGGGCCUUGUACACACCGCCCGUCACACCACGAAAGCUGUCUGUACUCGAAGUCGCUGAGA
This 461-nucleotide ribosomal RNA is filed under the name uncultured Methylomirabilota bacterium. RNAcentral describes it as "bacterial SSU rRNA". It matches the Rfam family "Bacterial small subunit ribosomal RNA", at positions 977 to 1435 of the family's 1533-position model. Lineage: Bacteria; Methylomirabilota (SeqCode). The record is from RNAcentral.